Molecule: ribosomal RNA, 497 nt
Filed under: uncultured bacterium
Lineage: Bacteria
Description: partial 16S ribosomal RNA
Rfam family: Bacterial small subunit ribosomal RNA
Source: RNAcentral
GAUGAACGCUGGCGGCGUGCCUAAUACAUGCAAGUCGAGCGAACGGACGAGAAGCUUGCUUCUCUGAUGUUAGCGGCGGACGGGUGAGUAACACGUGGAUAACCUACCUAUAAGACUGGGAUAACUUCGGGAAACCGUAGCUAAUACCGGAUAAUAUUUUGAACCGCAUGGUUCAAAAGUGAAAGACGGUCUUGCUGUCACUUAUAGAUGGAUCCGCGCUGCAUUAGCUAGUUGGUAAGGUAACGGCUUACCAAGGCAACGAUGCAUAGCCGACCUGAGAGGGUGAUCGGCCACACUGGAACUGAGACACGGUCCAGACUCCUACGGGAGGCAGCAGUAGGGAAUCUUCCGCAAUGGGCGAAAGCCUGACGGAGCAACGACGCGUGGGUGAUGAAGGUCUUCGGAUCGUAAAACUCUGUUAUUAGGGAAGAACAUAUGUGUAAGUAACUGUGCACAUCUUGACGGUACCUAAUCAGAAAGCCACGGCUAACUACGUG